Molecule: ribosomal RNA, 468 nt
Filed under: uncultured bacterium
Lineage: Bacteria
Description: partial 16S ribosomal RNA
Rfam family: Bacterial small subunit ribosomal RNA
Source: RNAcentral
GACGAACGCUGGCGGCGUGCUUAACACAUGCAAGUCGAACGGAAAGGCCCUGCUUUUGUGGGGUGCUCGAGUGGCGAACGGGUGAGUAACACGUGAGUAACCUGCCCUUGACUUUGGGAUAACUUCAGGAAACUGGGGCUAAUACCGGAUAGGAGCUCCUGCUGCAUGGUGGGGGUUGGAAAGUUUCGGCGGAUGGGGAUGGACUCGCGGCUUAUCAGCUUGUUGGUGGGGUAGUGGCUUACCAAGGCAUUGACGGGUAGCCGGCCUGAGAGGGUGACCGGCCACAUUGGGACUGAGAUACGGCCCAGACUCCUACGGGAGGCAGCAGUGGGGAAUAUUGCACAAUGGGCGGAAGCCUGAUGCAGCAACGCCGCGUGCGGGAUGACGGCCUUCGGGUUGUAAACCGCUGUCGCCUGUGACGAAGCGUGAGUGACGGUAAUGGGUAAAGAAGCACCGGCUAACUACGUG